UACGUAGGGUGCGAGCGUUAAUCGGAAUUACUGGGCGUAAAGCGUGCGCAGGCGGUCUUGCAAGACAGGUGUGAAAUCCCCGGGCUUAACCUGGGAACUGCAUUUGUGACUGCAUCGCUGGAGUGCGGCAGAGGGGGAUGGAAUUCCGCGUGUAGCAGUGAAAUGCGUAGAUAUGCGGAGGAACACCGAUGGCGAAGGCAAUCCCCUGGGCCUGCACUGACGCUCAUGCACGAAAGCGUGGGGAGCAAACAGG
RNAcentral lists this ribosomal RNA (253 nucleotides) under uncultured bacterium. RNAcentral describes it as "partial 16S ribosomal RNA". It matches the Rfam family "Bacterial small subunit ribosomal RNA", at positions 524 to 776 of the family's 1533-position model. The record is from RNAcentral.